GCUGGCGGCGUGCUUCAGGCAUGCAAGUCGAACGAGAAAGUUCUCUUCGGAGGACAAGUAGAGUGGCGCACGGGUGAGUAACACUUAGGUAACUUGCCCCUUCACUGGGGAUAACCAGAGGAAACUCUGGCUAAUACCGAAUGACUCUACUCUUUCUUCGGAAAAAGUAGAGAAAGCCUUCGGGCGCGAAGGGAGAGGCCUGAGUCCCAUUAGCUUGUUGGCAGGGUAACAGCCUACCAAGGCUACGAUGGGUAGCUGGUCUGAGAGGAUGAUCAGUCACACUGGAACUGAGACACGGUCCAGACUCCUACGGGAGGCAGCAGCUGGGAAUUUUGCGCAAUGGGCGAAAGCCUGACGCAGCAACGCCGCGUGGGUGAAGAAGGCCUUCGGGUUGUAAAACCCUUUCAGCAGGGAAGAAAAAAAUGACGGUACCUGCAGAAGAAGCACCGGCCAACUCCGUGCCAGCAGCCGCGGUAAUACGGAGGGUGCGAGCGUUAUUCGGAUUUACUGGGCGUAAAGGGCGCGUAGGCGGUCUGGUUAGUCUGAUGUGAAAGCCCUCGACUUAAUCGAGGAA
This 574-nucleotide ribosomal RNA is filed under the name uncultured bacterium. Its description in RNAcentral is "bacterial SSU rRNA". It matches the Rfam family "Bacterial small subunit ribosomal RNA", at positions 35 to 620 of the family's 1533-position model. The record is from RNAcentral.